RNAcentral lists this small nucleolar RNA (133 nucleotides) under Zalophus californianus (California sea lion). RNAcentral's name for it is "Small nucleolar RNA SNORA42/SNORA80 family (ENSZCAG00015014662.1)". It matches the Rfam family "Small nucleolar RNA SNORA42/SNORA80 family". Rfam says of the family: The members of this family belong to the H/ACA class of snoRNAs that guide the sites of modification of uridines to pseudouridines. Human ACA42 (SNORA42) was cloned from HeLa cells by immunoprecipitation with anti-GAR1 antibody. Its is predicted to guide the pseudouridylation of residues U109 and U572 of 18S rRNA. RNAcentral also lists the same sequence under 1 other name. The record is from RNAcentral. Lineage: Eukaryota; Metazoa; Chordata; Mammalia; Carnivora; Otariidae.
GCAUGGGUUUGGAUUUAUGGCAGGCUCGUCCCCCUGGGCCUCUCAGUGCUCUGAGCCAGAGCAAACUGUGGCCCCGAACCAUUGCCUGGCCUCUGUGCCAUAGGCUGCAGGCACUGAAGCAGGUCGCACAGUA